Molecule: long non-coding RNA, 415 nt
Filed under: Helianthus annuus (common sunflower)
Lineage: Eukaryota; Viridiplantae; Streptophyta; Magnoliopsida; Asterales; Asteraceae
Source: RNAcentral
CCACCUCCAACUCCCUCAUCAAUACACGAAUUCUUCUCCCUUGACAGCCCAAUAUACCACCACCAAUAACCCCAAAUCAGUUCCAUGACAGCCGACUAAUAUCACCGAGAACCCCCAAAAUCAGAGCCCUACACUUUUUGAGAGAAAUAAGAGAGGAGAUUGAAUGAUCCUGGAUUUGAGGAGAGGAAUUUAAUUCGAGGUGAUCGAACAAAGAAGACAAACUACUUGAAUUGAUGAGAUGAUUAGAUUAAACUUACAGUGAUGUUGAGAUUUGAGAGAGGAAAUCAAUUAAACACCGAUCGAUUUCUGAAUCAAGAAAUUAUCGAUGAUGGCCCUAGCUGCUUCUGAUCCUGCCGACACCACCAAUAUUUGCAGUCACUAGUGACGUUACCCUCAACCCAGUGGUUUGAGUCAG